GACGAACGCUGGCGGCGUGCUUAACACAUGCAAGUCGAACGAUGAACCCGGAGCUUGCUCUGGGGGAUUAGUGGCGAACGGGUGAGUAACACGUGAGUAACCUGCCCUGGACUCUGGGAUAAGCGUUGGAAACGACGUCUAAUACCGGAUAGGACCUUGGAUCGCAUGAUCUGGGGUGGAAAGUUUUUUCGGUCUGGGAUGGACUCGCGGCCUAUCAGCUUGUUGGUGAGGUAAUGGCUCACCAAGGCGUCGACGGGUAGCCGGCCUGAGAGGGUGACCGGCCACACUGGGACUGAGACACGGCCCAGACUCCUACGGGAGGCAGCAGUGGGGAAUAUUGCACAAUGGGCGAAAGCCUGAUGCAGCAACGCCGCGUGCGGGAUGACGGCCGUCGGGUUGUAAACCGCUUUUAGUAGGGAAGAAGGGCUUCGGCUUGACGGUACCUGCAGAAAAAGGACCGGCUAACUGCGUG
RNAcentral lists this ribosomal RNA (472 nucleotides) under uncultured bacterium. RNAcentral's name for it is "partial 16S ribosomal RNA". It matches the Rfam family "Bacterial small subunit ribosomal RNA", at positions 28 to 507 of the family's 1533-position model. The record is from RNAcentral.